Molecule: ribosomal RNA, 657 nt
Filed under: Luzula banksiana
Lineage: Eukaryota; Viridiplantae; Streptophyta; Magnoliopsida; Poales; Juncaceae
Description: eukaryotic LSU rRNA
Rfam family: 5.8S ribosomal RNA (bases 240-396)
Source: RNAcentral
AGGGUGACCUGCGGAAGGAUCAUUGUCGAGACCCGAAUAGGAAGACCGGUGCACGGUGAACGGAACCCCCGCGGUGGUUUUGCUGCCACGGGCCGCGGCCCACUGUAGCCAUCUGGCGUUGUGGAGUUUGCGAAUAAAAAACGGCGCUGCAUUGGUGCCAAGGCAUACAUGUCGAGCAGGGCGUUCGGACCGCAGCUGUGCUGGGUGUUCGUCGUCUUGACGGUAUAAUAUCUUGAAACGACUCUCGGCAAUGGAUAUCUCGGUUCUUGCAUCGAUGAAGAACGUAGCGAAAUGCGAUACGUGGUGUGAAUUGCAGAAUCCCGUGAACCAUCGAAUUUUUGAACGCAAGUUGCGCCCGAGGCCUUUUUGGCCUAGGGCACGCCUGCCUGGGCGUCAGUUGCCCCUCGGCGCUCCAUGCCAUGUGCGAUCUCUCACGGCUGGAUGCGGGCCUGGCCCUUCGAGUCCCUGAGCUCGGCGGGCCAAAGCGUUUGGCUUGCCCAUUGGGGCUGGCUGUGGCGAGUGGUGGAUCGAUCGCUCAGACGAGCCGUACGUCGCCCAGCUAGACCCCUCGGGUAUAUGGCCUUGUUGAAACCCCAGAAUAGCAGAUGCCGAAUGGCAUUGGCGAAACCAAGACCCCAGGUCAGGCGGGACUACCCG